Molecule: ribosomal RNA, 144 nt
Filed under: Caridina fritzi
Lineage: Eukaryota; Metazoa; Arthropoda; Malacostraca; Decapoda; Atyidae
Description: partial 16S ribosomal RNA
Source: RNAcentral
AGGUAGCAUAAUAAAUAGUCUUUUAAUUGAAGUCUAGUAUGAAUGGUCGGACAUGAAGUAAGCUGUUUUAACUUUGAUGUUUAAAUUUUACUUUUAAGUGAAAAGGCUUAAAUUUAAUGGUGGGACGAUAAGACCCUAUAAAGA